UCUGAAACAAUAGGAGGCACCAUCUGAAACACAAGCUCUGUCAGAUGUUGAGCUAUGUGGAUAGCAGACUUUCAUAAAAGGUUGAAUGCAAACAUAGAUGGGCUAAGUGGGAUAUUGCUUGCUUUUGAAGUUAUCUGCGCAUGAACAAAGAAGUGGCUGGAGACAGAGAUGGCAGCAGAAGGGAGAGGAGAGCAAGAAAAGUCCUUGUGUGGUGUGGAGAAAAAAGAGCAGUCAGAUGCAGACAUCUUCUCCCACCGCUUUCCAACAACUGGGCAAAUUUUUGGAAACACCCUGCAUUAUAAGCACUGUGAGAACAACAGUAUAACUUCUCAGGUUUUCUAAUGGAAAGUUGGAGGAACCUGCAGAUUAAAUGGGAGAACUAAGAGCAGAAGAAUCAUACAAGCUGUAACAUCAUCUCUCUCGAUACGACAGCUGGAAAAGGAUACCUCAGUUUUAAAAAGCUCCUAUGGAUUUGUAUAGGCUAGGGUGGAAGUGCCAUUGUCUGUCAGUUCUGACGGCUGUCAACCCUUAUCUAAGAGCAACAGAUUUACAGAAAUUAUAUUUGCACCUAAAAUGAAGUAAAUGAUCUCUUUCUUAAUUUUUCAUCCAUUUCAUGCCU
RNAcentral lists this long non-coding RNA (619 nucleotides) under Struthio camelus australis. RNAcentral's name for it is "lncRNA (ENSSCUG00000013556.1)". The record is from RNAcentral. Lineage: Eukaryota; Metazoa; Chordata; Aves; Struthioniformes; Struthionidae.